RNAcentral lists this ribosomal RNA (465 nucleotides) under uncultured bacterium. RNAcentral describes it as "partial 16S ribosomal RNA". It matches the Rfam family "Bacterial small subunit ribosomal RNA", at positions 338 to 795 of the family's 1533-position model. The record is from RNAcentral.
CCUACGGGUGGCAGCAGUAGGGAAUCUUCCACAAUGGACGCAAGUCUGAUGGAGCAACGCCGCGUGAGUGAUGACGGGUUUCGGCUCGUAAAGCUCUGUUGAUAGUGAAGUAAGAUAGAGGACGUAUCUCUCCUUUUUUUGACGGUAUUUACUUAGAAAGUCACGGCUAACUACGUGCCAGCAGCCGCGGUAAUACGUAGGUGGCAAGCGUAGUCCGGAUUUGUUGGGCGUAAAGCGAGUUCGGGCGGUUGGAUAGUUCUGAUGUGAAAGCCUUCGGCUCAACCGGAGAAGUUCAUCAGAAACAGGUGAACUUGAGUGCAGAAGAGGAGAGUGGAACUCCAUGUGUAGCGGGGGAAAGCGUAGAUAUAUGGAAGAAAACCAGUGGCGAAGGCGGCGCUCUGGUCUGCAACUGACGCUGAGGCUCGAAAGCAUGGGUAGCGAACAGGAUUAGAUACCCGGGUAGUC